Molecule: ribosomal RNA, 253 nt
Filed under: uncultured bacterium
Lineage: Bacteria
Description: partial 16S ribosomal RNA
Rfam family: Bacterial small subunit ribosomal RNA
Source: RNAcentral
UACGUAGGGUGCUAGCGUUGUUCGGAAUCAUUGGGCGUAAAGCGCGUGUAGGCGGUUAGUUAAGUCGGGUGUGAAAUCCCUGGGCUCAACCGAGGAAGUGCAUCCGAAACUAACUAGCUAGAGAAUGGUAGAGGAAGGUGGAAUUCCGUGUGUAGAGGUGAAAUUCGUAGAUAUACGGAGGAAUACCGGUGGCGAAGGCGGCCUCUGGACCAUUUCUGACGCUGAGACGCGGAAGCGUGGGGGAGCAAACAGG